Molecule: long non-coding RNA, 678 nt
Filed under: Physcomitrium patens
Lineage: Eukaryota; Viridiplantae; Streptophyta; Bryopsida; Funariales; Funariaceae
Description: long non-coding RNA (PPAT_LNC003495)
Source: RNAcentral
GCAUUCCAACAAUCUAAGGUAAAAGCCACUCGUGCGGUAUCACGGGAGAAUCUGCAGAGCAACACAGAUGACAAGUACUCCAGUGGCUCUUCCCUCCCUGCUGUGUCAGGCUUGUGGUACGCUCCUCCUGAAAACAAUUACUAUACAUAUCCUUCCCCUGCUCACUAUGAGUCUCCUAACCACCACGAGAAUCGUGGUGAUCAUGAGUCCCAUAAAGACAUUCAUCGUAGAUCUGAACACGAGGGUCGACAGGGGUCUUCCGGCGAGCGUACUGAUCAUAAAGCUCGUGACAAGGAUUGCUCAUCGAAGAGUGGAAGCCACCAUUACAAAACCCCUCCCCACCACUCAGUACCCAAUUACGAAAAGUCUCCACCUACAUAUCACAGUGAGCAUCACAACACUCCUUCCCCUCAUGAAUCUUCUUCCUCCCAUCCUCCUCCUCGUCCCCAUUACGAUGCACCUCCCUAUGUCCCCUACGUCCAUCAUGCACCUCUACCACCACAUGACGGCUACAAAUCUCCUCCUCCACCUGAUCAUGACAAUUACGAAGCACCUCCAAAGCAAUAUGAUCCUCCUCCAUAUUACCAGAGAGGCAAUGUUGACACCACUGCAAAAGCAGCAUCAGCGCAGCCGAAGGAGAGUUCGCCAUGAAAGGGGUUUCAAGAUUCGUAAGCCUCG